AUUGAACGCUGGCGGCAUGCUUUACACAUGCAAGUCGAACGCGAAAGGGGGCAACCCUGAGUAGAGUGGCGCACGGGUGAGUAAUGCAUCGGAACGCGUCCUGUAGCGGGGGAUAACCUAGCGAAAGCUAGGCUAAUACCGCAUACGCCCUGAGGGGGAAAGUGGGGGAUCGCAAGACCUCACACUAUAGGAGCGGCCGAUGCCGGAUUAGCUAGUUGGUGGGGUAAAAGCUCACCAAGGCGACGAUCCGUAGCUGGUCUGAGAGGAUGAUCAGCCACACUGGGACUGAGACACGGCCCAGACUCCUACGGGAGGCAGCAGUGGGGAAUUUUGGACAAUGGGGGCAACCCUGAUCCAGCCAUGCCGCGUGAGUGAAGAAGGCCUUCGGGUUGUAAAGCUCUUUCGGCCGGGACGAAAUCGCAUGGGUGAAUAUCCUGUGUGGAUGACGGUACCGGAAUAAGAAGCACCGGCUAACUACGUGCCAGCCGCCGCAGUAA
Molecule: ribosomal RNA, 497 nt
Filed under: uncultured bacterium
Lineage: Bacteria
Description: partial 16S ribosomal RNA
Rfam family: Bacterial small subunit ribosomal RNA
Source: RNAcentral